AGGUUCAGUUGGUGAGCGGGAACACCAAGGUUUUCAUACAAAGGUAGCUCUCUGGCUCCUCACUGCCCAAUUCUUGAAUAGCCCCAGAAAAGUAGCCUGAUAAUUAGUAGUCACUGACUUUUAAUGAUCUGAUCUCAUUCUAAUGGCACAACCCCAAAAUCUCAGGCAAGACCAGCAAUUCUCACCCCUCUGUCUUCUUUUAAGUAUUGAAACAAGGGCUGACGAGAUGGAAGCACUCCUGGAAGCCUGACAAAACUUCCACAUAUGAGCUUGAUGACUCAUAAGGGCACCAUACCAAAGACCAAGAACUGGCCGGGCGCAGUGGCUCACACCUCUAAUCCCAGCACUUUGGGAGGCUGAGGCAGGUGGAUCACCUGAGAGCUCCACACAGUCCUACAGUGUUCCACCAUGUCAAAUCAGGCCUUCAUUUUGAACUUGGAAAUCUCCCCACUUGCAGGCAGUGGCACUGCCAGCAAGCCACAGGUAAACCACUGGAUCUACUAUGGAAAAGUGUAUGAGUAAUGCCCACCUAAUAUAGAAGAACUCGUCAUAGCUCUGAGGCAGCAACAACUGACGACUUGCUUUUACAUAAACACUAGGAAGAAAGGCAUGGAAUCGAGUGUUUUGAGAGCUGAAUUACAUCAAUAUUUGCUUUUCAGAAAAUCUAAAAUUAUUUCAAUGCACAAAAGGUACAUACUGAAUGUAAUUAUAACUCUUCAGAAAAAUCAAUCUCUUUCUCUUUUUAAACCUACAUAAAAAUAAAUUUUCUGACUAUUUUACCUUUGGAUUAUUCUCUCUAAUCAACAGUCUGAUUUAGAAUAAUGCAAGAAAGUAACGCCUUAGUGUCUUAGGACCAUUUAUUAAUUCCAGGUAUACCACCAGAAUUAGUACAACAAACAAAUACGAAUUCUACUUUCCAAUCUUUAAAAUAAGAAUCAUGAAAAGAAGUGUGUGGCUUACAACUGCAUGUUACUUAUAGCAGCUCUGAGUAUGGUGCU
Molecule: non-coding RNA, 998 nt
Organism: Macaca mulatta (Rhesus monkey)
Lineage: Eukaryota; Metazoa; Chordata; Mammalia; Primates; Cercopithecidae
Source: RefSeq, a predicted model, not a curated record